Molecule: ribosomal RNA, 497 nt
Filed under: uncultured bacterium
Lineage: Bacteria
Description: partial 16S ribosomal RNA
Rfam family: Bacterial small subunit ribosomal RNA
Source: RNAcentral
GAUGAACGCUGGCGGCGUGCCUAAUACAUGCAAGUCGAGCGAACAGACGAGGAGCUUGCUCCUCUGACGUUAGCGGCGGACGGGUGAGUAACACGUGGAUAACCUACCUAUAAGACUGGGAUAACUUAGGGAAACCGGAGCUAAUACCGGAUAAUAUAUUGAACAGCAUGGUUCAAUAGUGAAAGACGGUUUUGCUGUCACUUAUAGAUGGAUCCGCGCCGCAUUAGCUAGUUGGUAAGGUAACGGCUUACCAAGGCGACGAUGCGUAGCCGACCUGAGAGGGUGAUCGGCCACACUGGAACUGAGACACGGCCCAGACUCCUACGGGAGGCAGCAGUAGGGAAUCUUCCGCAAUGGGCGAAAGCCUGACGGAGCAACGCCGCGUGAGUGAUGAAGGUCUUCGGAUCGUAAAACUCUGUUAUUAGGGAAGAACAAAUGUGUAAGUAACUAUGCACGUCUUGACGGUACCUAAUCAGAAAGCCACGGCUAACUACGUG